GAUGAACGCUGGCGGCGUGCCUAAUACAUGCAAGUCGAGCGAACGGACGAGAAGCUUGCUUCUCUGAUGUUAGCGGCGGACGGGUGAGUAACACGUGGAUAACCUACCUAUAAGACUGGGAUAACUUCGGGAAACCGGAGCUAAUACCGGAUAAUAUUUUGAACCGCAUGGUUCAAAAGUGAAAGACGGUCUUGCUGUCACUUAUAGAUGGAUCCGCGCUGCAUUAGCUAGUUGGUAAGGUAACGGCUUACCAAGGCAACGAUGCAUAGCCGACCUGAGAGGGUGAUCGGCCACACUGGAACUGAGACACGGUCCAGACUCCUACGGGAGGCAGCAGUAGGGAAUCUUCCGCAAUGGGCGAAAGCCUGACGGAGCAACGCCGCGUGAGUGAUGAAGGUCUUCGGAUCGUAAAACUCUGUUAUUAGGGAAGAACAUAUGUGUAAGUAACUGUGCACAUCUUGACGGUACCUAAUCAGAAAGCCACGGCUAACUACGUGCCAGCAGCCGCGGUAAUACGUAGGUGGCAAGCGUUAUCCGGAAUUAUUGGGCGUAAAGCGCGCGUAGGCGGUUUUUUAAGUCUGAUGUGAAAGCCCACGGCUCAACCGUGGAGGGUCAUUGGAAACUGGAAAACUUGAGUGCAGAAGAGGAAAGUGGAAUUCCAUGUGUAGCGGUGAAAUGCGCAGAGAUAUGGAGGAACACCAGUGGCGAAGGCGACUUUCUGGUCUGUAACUGACGCUGAUGUGCGAAAGCGUGGGGAUCAAACAGGAUUAGAUACCCUGGUAGUCCACGCCGUAAACGAUGAGUGCUAAGUGUUAGGGGGUUUCCGCCCCUUAGUGCUGCAGCUAACGCAUUAAGCACUCCGCCUGGGGAGUACGACCGCAAGGUUGAAACUCAAAGGAAUUGACGGGGACCCGCACAAGCGGUGGAGCAUGUGGUUUAAUUCGAAGCAACGCGAAGAACCUUACCAAAUCUUGACAUCCUUUGACAACUCUAGAGAUAGAGCCUUCCCCUUCGGGGGACAAAGUGACAGGUGGUGCAUGGUUGUCGUCAGCUCGUGUCGUGAGAUGUUGGGUUAAGUCCCGCAACGAGCGCAACCCUUAAGCUUAGUUGCCAUCAUUAAGUUGGGCACUCUAAGUUGACUGCCGGUGACAAACCGGAGGAAGGUGGGGAUGACGUCAAAUCAUCAUGCCCCUUAUGAUUUGGGCUACACACGUGCUACAAUGGACAAUACAAAGGGCAGCGAAACCGCGAGGUCAAGCAAAUCCCAUAAAGUUGUUCUCAGUUCGGAUUGUAGUCUGCAACUCGACUACAUGAAGCUGGAAUCGCUAGUAAUCGUAGAUCUGCAUGCUACGGUGAAUACGUUCCCGGGUCU
RNAcentral lists this ribosomal RNA (1372 nucleotides) under uncultured bacterium. RNAcentral's name for it is "bacterial SSU rRNA". It matches the Rfam family "Bacterial small subunit ribosomal RNA", at positions 28 to 1381 of the family's 1533-position model. The record is from RNAcentral.